UGGGGAAUAUUGCACAAUGGGCGGAAGCCUGAUGCAGCGACGCCGCGUGGGGGAUGAAGGCCUUCGGGUUGUAAACUCCUUUCGACAGGGACGAAGCUUUUGUGACGGUACCUGUAUAAGAAGCACCGGCUAACUACGUGCCAGCAGCCGCGGUCAUACGUAGGGUGCGAGCGUUGUCCGGAAUUACUGGGCGUAAAGAGCUCGUAGGUGGUUUGUCGCGUCGUCUGUGAAAUUCCGGGGCUUAACUCCGGGCGUGCAGGCGAUACGGGCUGACUUGAGUGCUGUAGGGGAGACUGGAAUUCCUGGUGUAGCGGUGAAAUGCGCAGAUAUCAGGAGGAACACCGAUGGCGAAGGCAGGUCUCUGGGCAGUAACUGACGCUGAGGAGCGAAAGCAUGGGUAGCGAACAGG
This 409-nucleotide ribosomal RNA is filed under the name Actinomycetes bacterium. RNAcentral describes it as "Actinobacteria bacterium partial 16S ribosomal RNA". It matches the Rfam family "Bacterial small subunit ribosomal RNA", at positions 355 to 776 of the family's 1533-position model. Lineage: Bacteria; Bacillati; Actinomycetota; Actinomycetes. The record is from RNAcentral.